This is an RNA transcript of Diceros bicornis minor, 3701 nucleotides long. It is a transcript of the gene named beta-1,3-N-acetylgalactosaminyltransferase 1 (globoside blood group), with no coding region annotated. The transcript has 3 exons. The record is from RefSeq and is a predicted model, not a curated record. NCBI's taxonomy places the organism in Eukaryota, Metazoa, Chordata, Mammalia, Perissodactyla, Rhinocerotidae.
GGCGGGCUGGGUGACGGCGAGUGCGUCUGGCGGCGAGCCGUGUGGACCCGCGCGUGCGUGCGUGCGUGCGAGCGAGCGAAGGGCUCGGGGCCCGGCGCGUGGUCUGCGCGCGCCCGGCCACCCGUGCGGCUGAGGGGAGGCUGCGUGUGCGCGCGGCCGCCCCGAGCGUCGGCCGCCCGCCCGCCCGCGUCGGAGCCGGGUGCGCGCCGCGCGCAGGAGUAGUUCACAGCAAAACUUUUAAUUAAAGCAUGAAAUACAGAAAACUUCAGCUGGUGCUUUAGUCUGAUCUGAAAUUCUACAGGAUUUGAGGAGGUGCAAGAGUUACGCUCUACUAAACCAUUUUGGAUAAAAUAUAUGUAUUUAAAAAUUGAGUUAUUAAAAUACUGUGGUACCUCAGGGAAACUUACUGUAUAAACUUAAUUUGGUGAUCAUAUUCAACUUCAAGACUGAACUCUCUUUAUGCCAAAGAAAAUACUCCAGUGGAAACUUCUGUUUUCUUUUUUUUUUUUUGGGGGGGGAGGAAGAUCAGCCCUGAGCUAACAUCCAUGCUAAUCCUCCUCUUUUUGCUGAGGAAGACCAGCUCUGAGCUAACAUCUAUUGCCAAUCCUCCUCCUUUUUUUCCCCCAAAGCCCCAGUUGAUAGUUGUAUGUCAUAGUUGCACAUCUUUCUAGUUGCUGUAUGUGGGAGGCGGCCUCAGCAUGGCCGGAGCAGCGGUGCGUCAGUGCGCGCCCAGGGUUCUGAACCCGGGCUGCCAGUAGCGGAGCGCGUGCACUUAACCGCUAAGCCACAGGGCCGGCCCUCUCUUUUCUUUCCCUUUCAAAAUUUGCCUUCUCUCUCUGCCUAGUCUCCAGCUGUAUUCUGGAUGAAAUGCCUUUAUCCCUUUCACAAAUAUACAAUGUCCAAGCCAAACAUGCUUUUCUGUUGCCGCUCUAACAGCUGUCAUUGCUCCUCCCUGCUCACUGUAUGGUAGAUACUCACACUGUACAGCUUCAUGAGUGAGGUCAGAUGUGUAGGGUUAAACAGCAUGCUUUUAAAUAACCUUGUACAACAGAUGUAUUCAAAAGUUCCAGUUCAUUUAAAGCAGGCUCUUUGGUAAAUAUCUCUUUGGGACUAUGAACAGUGGUUCUGUUUUAAUAAAAAGUUGUGUAUUAUAAAUAUUUAUUUGCUUUUGGCACAUUGUGAAUUAGAGGAGAGGGUAAGGUGAAGGUAGGGGCCAGAAGCAUAGCAGUUUGUAGUGGGUAUACCUGACGAGGGGGAGAUGAAGGCACAGAACAUCUGUAGGGGGGACCCUGAGAGGCUGCAGAAUAGAAGAUUGAGCUAGGGGGAUAACUUGUGCCCCUUGAAGCUCUGAGAAAUUUAGGAAUGAAAACCAGAGAGCUAGAGUAGAUUAUCCGAGUUUCCCAUUCUGUGUGUGUGUGACCCUGAAUACAGGUAGUUAACCAGGAAGCCAAGGCCUUUUGUGAUCCCCUUUUAGCAUCCACAGCCCAGGUGAAUAUUAUCAGCCCUGCUUCCCCUUCAGGAACCGUUUCAUGUUGGGAACCUUUCACCAACACUAGGACCGCCUUUUCAGUAGCAUGGCCAUUUGGGGUCAUGAGGAAACAGAGAAGAGAGGUCUUAGGAGAUUUUAUUGAUGUUCUGAGGGAUGCCAUUUCAUGGGGCUAGAAUGCUUCCAGACCAGCAGCCUGUUUUGUCAAGUUUCUUUGGAGCACAGCCACACCUAUGUGUUCAAUAUUGUCUGUAGCUCCAUUUUCACUACAAAGGCAAAAUUAAGUAGCUGGGAUAGAGACCAUAUGGCCCACAAAGAAGAUAUUUGCUAUUUGGCCUUUUAUUUAAAAAAAAAGUUUGCCUACACCUGGGCUAGAACGUAGAAUUCUGCUAAACUCCCCAGCUCUGCUUGGACAGGCUCUUUCAAGUUAGAAUAAAGAAGCACUGCUCCUGUUAGAACAUGUCACAAGCCUGUGGCCAUCUACCCCCUGCGUGGCAGUGAUGACUCAACCAAGUCUCGUAUCUGGGACUAUAUUUGACUACUAUUUUGGUAACAAACUUUCCAUGGGUGGAAUUACCCACUUUCUAAGAGAAAAACUUAUAAUCAACUCUUAUUUCUUAAUAUUCAAUAGUUCCUUUCUCUAAACGGGUACAAGUUCUAUAAUUUACACUUUUUUUGAGCAUCCACGCAUUCUGAGAAGGCAACUCAGCUCCCUGCCAGGGAGGCUGACCGCUAAUUUGGAGACAUUAGAGCCGAGGUCUCCCUCCAGCCUCUCCAGGUGGGCUUUACUCAUGACCCUUCCUCCUGCUCGGCAUGGAAUGUCAGCAGCUGGAGGGAAGGGCUUGUCUGUCUGCCUCCCUGUUGCAGCUGCAGCCUCUGACACAGGUCUCGCAUGUUGAAUGAAUGAAGCACACUCAAAUAACUGAGGGAAGGGUAAUCAGUCACGUAGCUUGACCGAUGAGAAUGAGGACAAUCUGUAGCGUUCCUAAUCUAGGGUAACGACAGCAAGAAAUAUUAACCAGAGCAGGUUCCUGUGUCGUCUUCCUCCAGUGGGUAAAGCUGUAACAAAACAGACAGGAAGCCCAGCUCUUGAGUCAGCCUCGCUGCUGUUCUGCCUGACACACAGAUCACACAGAUCUUUGCUCUGCUCCGGUUUCUCUAGCUUCUUCAGACCCGGCCAUUCUGCAGCCUCUCCCCACAGGCUGCUCUGUCACUGGGCUCUCAGGCUGCCCAGCCCUGAGCACAGAGGUGCAUCCACUUUUGCUCUACUCUUUGCUCCCUGCCCAGGAAUCUCAAGAGGCUGUGGGGUGGGUAUGAGGUUGGGCUCUUCUGUGGGCUCUGUGCCCUAGAGAAGGAGCGCAGCGUUUGGGGUUGGGCCUGAGUUUGGGUUCCAGGUCUGCCUGUACUUGGGCUGCACAGGUCUCUGAAAACUGGGAUGCUAACACUCAUUUUACAGUGUUGUGAAUGUGCUUUGUAAAUUGCUAUAGAAGUGAUACAGACUUAAGCCCAAAAGCCCACUUUCCCUUAAGAAAAACUUUGCUUAAAAUCCUAACGUGUACUGCAAAUUAUUAGGAAUGGGGGUCUUUUGUUGGACAUACGUGCAGAUAGGGCAGAAGCCACAAGAAAAUUGCAGCAGAAUUUUCCUUGUCAGGUCCUGCUACUUUUGGUUGCUCCUCAUUUUUCUCAGCCGGAAGGCCCUACACACCACAACCCCAGAAAUCUAUAAAAUAUUCACGUAUAUUGUUAGUCGUAUAAGAAAGUACUUUGUUUGCAAACAGUAUAUAAUAUGUCUUUUUAAAAUAUGUUUUUAAAAACUCAGAUGUCUUCUACAUCAAUACACUGAGGCAGGAGGCGUCUGUUUUAAUAAGGCUUGAAUGCCAGGCAUUCUUCCCACAUCUCAGAAUACACCUGAAGUGGCACUGCUGCAGCAUCGGGGGUUCAAGGGCAGAACUGGAGUGGUGGAGUAUUAGGUACUCAUCCUUACUGUCUGCCUGCAACUGGUUAACAGCCUGGAGAGUUCUGCUUGACGUGGGGAUUUUUCUUAAACUCAGUGAACACUUCAGAUUCAUUCUUAAAAACCGAACAAUUAAAACAAUUUAUGCAAAAAUGAGACCUUUUCUAUAUACUACAUUUUAAACAUUAGGAGUAACAAAGUCAUGGAAUCUUGGAGUGGGAGGGGACCUUAGAAGUUACCUACAAUAACUUAAAACUCAAG